ACCUUAUGAUUUGGGAAUUGUAACAAUUUAUCAUUGAAUCCUUGCAAAACUUUUUACAAGGGUUCACCAAUAAGUUGGCAAAAAUUUGUAAUCUCAUCCCUAGUU
Molecule: non-coding RNA, 105 nt
Organism: Capsicum annuum
Lineage: Eukaryota; Viridiplantae; Streptophyta; Magnoliopsida; Solanales; Solanaceae
Source: Rfam